Molecule: long non-coding RNA, 1777 nt
Filed under: Salmo salar (Atlantic salmon)
Lineage: Eukaryota; Metazoa; Chordata; Actinopteri; Salmoniformes; Salmonidae
Description: lncRNA (ENSSSAG00000092474.1)
Source: RNAcentral
GUAGCUAGCUAGCUACCAGCUCGAGUGUGCAGGUUUCUCCGCCAGAAUGGUAGAAAUGGACAACGUUGCCACGCUGUGGACUUUUUGUUGAAGAACCCCUUUCAUUCUCUGGGGUACACGGAAAAGGUGCGAAUUAAAAGCGAGGCCCGAUCUCUGCCUGAGAUCAGUUCCAUGAAGAAGGAUGAAAAGGUGAAGGCGUUCAAUACCAACUGGUAUCAAAAGUAUAGCUGGUUAACAGGGAGCCUUUCAUCAAGCCGCCUGUAUUGCUGGCCUUGCCUGCUUUUUGGAAAGUCUGAGCCUUGGUCGAAAGGUGGGUACAGUGACCUGAAGAACAUCGAUUGUUCAGCUAAACGGCAAAACAAAAGCAGGGAGCAUAUAAAUGCCCACAUCAGAUUCAAGCUUCUGGGAAAAAGCUGCAUCGAUUAUGACGAAGGUCUGCUUGUUCAAGAAAGUAAAAAGAAACAGAGAAGUUCUCAACGGCUUAUCAACACUACUACAUUUUUGGGCAUGCACAAAUGUGCUUUAAGAGGACACGACGACAGGCAAAGUUCCGUCAACAAGGGCAACUACAAGGAGGUGCAGAGGGUCCAGAGUUUUCCUAGUUAGGUUAACAAAUAAGGAAACACCCCAGACCCCCCACCGCUUUGGGACCUAUGGUGCCACCAGUCUUCUUGCAGUUGUCAGUUAUCGUCAGUUAAGUCCCCUCCUGUUCCCUGAUUAAGAGGUGAUGACUACUCCACUACCAUUGUCAACUUUCUCCUGAGAUGAACUGAAGCCACGUCUCAUGUGCCCGCUCAUCCACUGGCACAUUGAAUGUCUCAUGCACCCUGAGUACCCCUAUCAAUUUCUCUCAUUACUUCAAAUCCUGUCCUGCACUGGUGAAGCCUCUGAAUAUCUCAACUCAUGCCACAUACCCUCAUUCAAUCACUGCUGUGAUCCCUUUCCAACACUGACAAUGACCCAACACACCUCCAGGCUGUGUAAAGGCUAUUUGACCAAGAAGGAGAGUGAUGGAAUGCUGCCUCAGAUUACCUGGCCUCCACAAUCAUCCAACCUCAACCCAGUUGAGAUGGUUUGGGAUGAGUUGUACUGCAGAGUGAAGUAAAAGCAGCCAACAAGUGCUCAGCAUAUGUGGGAAUUCCUUCAAGACUGUUGGAAAAGCAUUUCAGAUGUCGACUGACCGGCUGCAGAUUGGAUUAGAUUCAUGCUAGUGACGCUGUUACAUUAUGCAGUCAACUGUGACAUGUUUUGCUAUGGCUCUGGGUUGUUUUUAGUUUGUUGUUGCCUGUUAGUACACUGUCGAAUCUGUUACGGAAUUUUAAUGUUUGUGCUUUUCUUAUAUCAAAUUUCUGUGUUCUAUUCAUGUGCUGUUCUGUAAACCAAUUUAUGUGUUCAUGCAAGUGGUUGACUGUACAAAUCCUCACAAUCAAUAGCUGCAAUUUGGCAGUACGCCCAGACCAUGUUUUGAGAACGAAUGAAAGAUAUCUCAGUUUCAAGGUUUUAGCUUAGAGAGAAGAAGCCUCAUGAGAUAUUGGUCUGUCACAUGUUAUGAACCAGUAUUGGUCUGUCACAUGAAUGAAACGGUAAUGAUUAAUGAAUUAUACUAAAUCAUGCAAAUAUAACUUGUCUCUGUAUAGCCUUAUAUAACAAAACUGCUUGGACUGCCCAGGCAAAGCUCCUGAUUAGCAUGUGUACUAUGGUGCAUUGAGUUAGUUGGAACCUCUCCAGCGCGCUAACAAAUAAAUAAUGAUUUAUUUAAGAUUGACUUAGAGUGUCC